CUCCAUGAGGCCAGCCGCAGUUAGGCGGUGUAACCUAUCUCGCUUGGAAAUUAUGAAGGGAACCAGCUUCAGUCGAUUGUAGAUGGAGAAAAGUUAAAUUGAGGGAUUUCUUUUUUUAAUUGGUGACGCGUUUGUCAUUUUGAGCACCUGCAUUACUGCCUGUUCUCCAGGAUAGUUGCACUAUAACUUGUGCUGUACAACAAUCGGAAUUUUCCGAUGUGUAGCCUUGUAGUUGAAUCGCCUUGUCACAUGUUUCAGAACAUCUCGUCGGCACUGACUCUCUUCUGCUCGCGUUUUUUUCUCUCUUUCUGCCGUGAUGAUGGAUUAUCAAUAGCAUGAUGAAGACACAUCAUUGAGAUCUGCAGCACUUGUGAAAGAAAAACCUUUAAAACAGGUGGCAGAUCCAGCAACAGUUCAAGCUGUUCAGAUUAUCUUCUGCCACAAUAACAGGCUGCCAUCUGAGAAACGCUGAGAUACAGUGCGCAGGCUCUCCCAGCGCUGUUCUCCAGCAUCAAACCCCCGAGCAACGCACAGCGGACACUCUGGCCAACACAUUCCAGGUUUGUCGACGUGCAAACCCCGAAGGCAAUUCUGGAAAUCAAGCAGAACAUUUAGAGACGACAGAAAAACACUGUUGGAACAUUAAUCAGUGGGGGGAACUGAGUCUUUGUGUCUCUCGUUUUCCGUUCGCUCAACUCUCCUCAGAAGGUCAGAGGAGCAUGUAACCGAAACAAGCGGAGCCCUCGGUGAUUUCAGCAUUCUGUCUCCCCCAUCUGUGCCUACAUUCUCCGCUACAGAUAGGGACGUUUUUGAUAAUUACAUGUAAUUAUAAUUUCUGUGGGAGACAGAUCUGCCUCUGUCUAUUAUUGCCAACACCUCCAACACAAUAACUUCACACAUUUACAUAUUUCUCAACAAAAGUGAUAUUCUUUGAACCUCAGAGACAAAUCAAGAAUAAUUUUACUUAGAGAGACAUGUCACAUGGAGACGAAAUGUGUCAUUCAGUUCAUAUCUAAUUAGUGAUACGGUUGAAUGACACGGGUAACUUUUUGUGCCUAAAAGCUGAAUAGAGAGCAUUUAAAAUCUGUGACGUUUGCCUCAUUUUGCAAUGUUUUUCACAGCCUGGGAGCCAUUUCCUCGGUUUAUGCUAACUCCUAAUUUUCAGCACCUAAACUGAGCCUCCUUCCCAAUCACAGAAACCGUGCCAGGCGACUAUGGAUGCACAUUAAUCCAACCAUAGAAGAGAUUGAGAUAAAGUACACGGUGCAUCUAUAGAUGUGACGAGUGCCUCGUGCCUAGAGUUAACAUGGAGAUACGUCCCUGCUCCAGAGACACUAGGCAUCAUUACUAGACAGAUGUUUAGUCUGUUAAUCCCAUUUGAUUGUUUACAAUGCUGAUAAAAUUACAAUAUAUAUGAAAAUAAUUAUAGAUUUCAUAAAUUUUUUCAGAAAGGAAUUGCUUUCAUCUUAAUUAAGUGCCAAUUCUGAAUGUGCCAGAUUAAAACAGUCAUCCUGGAAUGAACAAAACAGAUAAAAGUGUUUACAUUUGAUAAGAAAAACUGGCCAUAGAUUAUUGUUCAAGUGCCAAGGUCAGCAAGAAUGUAUAGGACUGCCAUAUUGUAUUGAAAAAUAUUUGCUACUAAUUUUUACUAGCCUUAGUGGUUACAAAAAUGUAUUCCUUCCAGCAGUACGUUAGAGAUUGGUCAUUUUGUUCAGUGAGGAGCGUAGAACAAGGCAUUAAGGACUAAAAGCAUGAAGAUUGUUGUUUUCAAUUUGUCCUCUUUACAAAGCCGCAUCAAUUUUAGUGUUCUGGACUUGAGAGGGCAAAAGAUGAAGUCAUUACGCAUUCAGAGAUCCUUUCUAGCAGUAAAUUAAAAGCAUUUUAAUACCAUUAUCGACAAUUAUUGAAACCUACCAACUGUUUUUGAUAGUGUUAGACCUUUUCAUUUGUAUUGUUCCUGACCUUUUCUAAUAUUACACCAUAUAAAUACUCAGUUUCUGACAAAAAAAAGGCUUCAAAUUUCCUCCUCCAACAUUACUGAAUGAAACUACUGAUACAUCAU
Molecule: long non-coding RNA, 2062 nt
Organism: Cottoperca gobio
Lineage: Eukaryota; Metazoa; Chordata; Actinopteri; Perciformes; Bovichtidae
Source: Ensembl